RNAcentral lists this ribosomal RNA (301 nucleotides) under uncultured bacterium. RNAcentral's name for it is "partial 16S ribosomal RNA". It matches the Rfam family "Bacterial small subunit ribosomal RNA", at positions 509 to 809 of the family's 1533-position model. The record is from RNAcentral.
CAGUCGCCGCGGUAACACGGAGGGAGCUAGCGUUGUUCGGAAUUACUGGGCGUAAAGCGCACGUAGGCGGUUAUUCAAGUCAGAGGUGAAAGCCCGGGGCUCAACCCCGGAACUGCCUUUGAAACUAUAUGACUGGAAUCUUGGAGAGGUCAGUGGAAUUCCGAGUGUAGAGGUGAAAUUCGUAGAUAUUCGGAAGAACACCAGUGGCGAAGGCGACUGACUGGACAAGUAUUGACGCUGAGGUGCGAAAGCGUGGGGAGCAAACAGGAUUAGAUACCCCCGUAGUCCCUGUCUCUUAUCC